Molecule: ribosomal RNA, 496 nt
Filed under: Thanatephorus sp. AG-9
Lineage: Eukaryota; Fungi; Basidiomycota; Agaricomycetes; Cantharellales; Ceratobasidiaceae
Description: eukaryotic LSU rRNA
Rfam family: 5.8S ribosomal RNA (bases 74-227)
Source: RNAcentral
CCUCUGUCUACUCAAUUAACAUAAACUCAAUUUAUUUUAAAAUGAAUGUAAUGGAUGUAACACAUCUAAUACUAAGUUUCAACAACGGAUCUCUUGGCUCUCGCAUCGAUGAAGAACGCAGCGAAAUGCGAUAAGUAAUGUGAAUUGCAGAAUUCAGUGAAUCAUCGAAUCUUUGAACGCACCUUGCGCUCCUUGGUAUUCCUUGGAGCAUGCCUGUUUGAGUAUCAUGAAAUCUUCAAAGUAAAUCUUUUGUUAAUUCAUUUGAUUUCACUUUGGUAUUGGAGGUCUUGCAGCUUCACACCUGCUCCUCUUUGUGCAUUAGCUGGAUCUCAGUGUUAUGCUUGGUUCCACUCGGCGUGAUAAAUUAUCUAUCGCUGAGGACACUGUAAAAGGUGGCCAAGGUAAAUGCAGAUGAACCGCUUCUAAUAGUCCAUUGACUUGGACAAUAUAUUUAUGAUCUGAUCUCAAAUCAGGUAGGACUACCCGCUGAACUUAA